Molecule: long non-coding RNA, 274 nt
Organism: Oryza brachyantha (malo sina)
Lineage: Eukaryota; Viridiplantae; Streptophyta; Magnoliopsida; Poales; Poaceae
Exons: 2
Source: RefSeq, a predicted model, not a curated record
AGCGACGGCGACGGAGGGAGGCCAGACGACCCACUUCAAUCGUCAUGCAUGAAGCUCCGCGGCACCAUUGAACACUGGGAAGGAGCAAAAAUGACAAACAUCUUGCACUAAACGCCUUGACUGGGAUGAACAACCCAAAUUAUUGGCAAAAAUUGGACCAUUGCUGAGGAUAGCAGUGGCAAAAAAUAAUCGUAGUGCCAUAUCUUAGUAACAGCAAGCAUUAUAUUUAAGAAAGAUAAAGAAAUUGACAAAUGUUAUUGCGCCUUUGAUUCAA